RNAcentral lists this ribosomal RNA (253 nucleotides) under uncultured bacterium. RNAcentral's name for it is "partial 16S ribosomal RNA". It matches the Rfam family "Bacterial small subunit ribosomal RNA", at positions 524 to 776 of the family's 1533-position model. The record is from RNAcentral.
UACGUAGGGACCAAGCGUUGUUCGGAUUUACUGGGCGUAAAGGGCGCGUAGGCGGCAAUUCAAGUCAUCUGUGAAAUCUCCGGGCUUAACCCGGAACGGUCAGAUGAUACUGCUUUGCUAGAGUGCGGAAGGGGCAAUCGGAAUUCUCGGUGUAGCGGUGAAAUGCGUAGAUAUCGAGAGGAACACCAGAGGUGAAGACGGAUCUCUGGACAAAUCCUGACGCUGAGGCGCGAAGGCUAGGGGAGCAAACGGG